UAAGACCUCUUGCGGUUCCCCCGGGAUGUGUUCUUCCCCAUUGCGAUGAGCAGUGGGGUCAACUGUGCCUGCAGGUGUGUUCCCGGUGACCUUAGGAUGGGUGACGUUGACAACGGAAGCAACACAGGCCAUCCAGGGGCAGCUGGACAAGGCUCACCUCCGGGGAGCCUACAUCUUCUUCCUGGUGCCGCAAAUCCUUUCUGGAACCAGGUGGGUGUGUAAAUACCUUCUGAAAGAACCGGGGAGCUCAUCCGACAUCCUGGUCACGGCCUGAGGAAACGAACACACCCCUUCUCUUCUGCCUUUGGGACCUAAAUACUGCAUCCCGCGGUGGAACCGGAUGUGGUGAAACUUAUUGACAAUUCCUGGGCACAAGGUGAGUGGGAAUUAUUUGGUGGGUGUGUGUGUGGGGGGGGGACGGGGGUGGUGGAUGGAUGA
RNAcentral lists this long non-coding RNA (438 nucleotides) under Felis catus (domestic cat). Its description in RNAcentral is "lncRNA (ENSFCAG00000046993.1)". Lineage: Eukaryota; Metazoa; Chordata; Mammalia; Carnivora; Felidae. The record is from RNAcentral.